GAUGAACGCUGGCUACAGGCUUAACACAUGCAAGUCGUGGGGAAACGGCAUUAUGUGCUUGCACAUUCUGGACGUCGACCGGCGCACGGGUGAGUAUCGCGUAUCCAACCUGCCCCUUACUUGGGGAUACCCCGUUGAAAGACGGCCUAAUACCCGAUGUGUUUCAUUGACGGCAUCCGAUAUGAAACAAAGGUUUUCCGGUAAGGGAUGGGGAUGCGUCUGAUUAGCUUGUUGGCGGGGCAACGGCCCACCAAGGCGACGAUCAGUAGGGGUUCUGAGAGGAAGGUCCCCCACAUUGGAACUGAGACACGGUCCAAACUCCUACGGGAGGCAGCAGUGAGGAAUAUUGGUCAAUGGACGCAAGUCUGAACCAGCCAAGUAGCGUGCAGGAUGACGGCCCUAUGGGUUGUAAACUGCUUUUAUGUGGGAAUAAAUUGGCGCACGUGUGCGCCAUUGCAUGUACCUCAUGAAUAAGGACCGGCUAAUUCCGUGCCAGCAGCCGCGGUAAUACGGAAGGUCCGGGCGUUAUCCGGAUUUAUUGGGUUUAAAGGGAGUGUAGGCGGUCUGUUAAGCGUGUUGUGAAAUUUAGGUGCUCAACAUUUAACUUGCAGCGCGAACUGUCAGACUUGAGUACACGCAGCGCAGGCGGAAUUCAUGGUGUAGCGGUGAAAUGCUUAGAUAUCAUGAGGAACUCCGAUCGCGAAGGCAGCCUGCGGGAGUGUUACUGACGCUUAAGCUCGAAGGUGCGGGUAUCGAACAGG
Molecule: ribosomal RNA, 761 nt
Filed under: Prevotella nigrescens
Lineage: Bacteria; Pseudomonadati; Bacteroidota; Bacteroidia; Bacteroidales; Prevotellaceae
Description: bacterial SSU rRNA
Rfam family: Bacterial small subunit ribosomal RNA
Source: RNAcentral